This is a long non-coding RNA of Homo sapiens (human), 1383 nucleotides long. NCBI's taxonomy places the organism in Eukaryota, Metazoa, Chordata, Mammalia, Primates, Hominidae. The record is from Ensembl.
AGCUCUCCCUCCCAUACUCCAAUUGAAGAGACCACAUGUUGACAUGGUGGAACCACCUGAUAGAAGCACCUGAAUCACCACUGGAAGAAUAGCUGUUCUGGAGAGCCCUUCAAAACCUAAAUUGGACUCUGCAUAAGCAAGAAAUCAAUUUUCAAAUGUGCAUAGGAGGCAAAGAAGGAGCAGAGGAAGAUGAGUACUUCCAAUUUGAGUCAAUGUCCAGGCAGAUAGUUAUAAUCAUUUUAGAGAUCUCUUGGCUUCUAGAAGAACAAGUUUCUGGGGCCUCAGGACCACUCAGAAAAGAAAACAGAUCUCCUGAAUGUCAAGAACUUGCAUUUAUUCCAGGCAUAAGGGUGUCACAGAAGUUUUUUUCUAAUGGACUGUCGCUGACCUGGCCACAAGUGGCCAGGAAGAAGGUCUUAAAAUUCAGCUACACAUGAAGAAUGGAUGGAUUCCCCAGGUCUGGACAGAACAGUCCACGCAGAGGAAUGAGGAGAAGAGGAUUCAUCCAUUAGCUUCCAUCUCCCAUUGGUGAAAGCUUGCCCUGCAACUCCUCCACACUUCUGGGUUGUAUGACCUGUCCUGCUACAGCCACUAUGGAAAUCUGAACCCAUGUUAGUAGCCACCUCCUCAGCAUGACCUGCAGCUUAUGGGGCAUGCAGUAAGUAGGAGCAAGCCAAGCGCCCUGCGGGCUAGACCUCUGGCACACUGCAGAACCAGCAUGAACCAGGGCAGGUAGUGAACACCGAGAGGGUCCCAUGGUACUGCCCACCAUAGAGACUAAAACAGAGCCUUUGGCAAGAGGCAGGAGGCUCUAGGCAUGAGGUGUUUUCGGUCAUAGCCACACAUUACCUCAGAUUCCAGGAGCAGCUGCUGCAGCAGACCCAGCUAGCCCAGCCUGCAGAUUGUCACCAUGAAGACAGAGAUGAUCCUUCCUCCAGUGAAGAGCAAAACUUCUUUGUGGCCUAUAUGACUGCUUGGUGCUGGGCAAGCUUCCUGAAGAGUCAUCAGCAGCUGGAGACCAUGGCUGAGUAAAUCCAGGGUGGGGGCAGGGCAUAAGCUGGGUCCAGUGCAUUAUCCAUCCUUUCUAGAUCUUGGCUUCUUUUUGAAUAAUGAGCAGUAGCAAUUGCUAUUUCCUCUUCUUCGCCAUUCCAAGCUUCCCUCUACAACAUCCUCUCUUUCCAGCUGUGUAGCAGGCGCAGCUCUAAGCCCAUGUGCUUGGGGUCUCUUACCCUUGGAAUUGCCUCCUUUGCCGGGCUUUCUAAGUUGUCUUACUGCUAGUUUUCAAGGAUCUUAAAAAUCCAUCCUCUUGUAUGAAGGCUUCUCUGGCUGAAUGGGCAUUAUUCUGGCGUAUUCCUCACCUUCCAAAUAAAAUCUAUGAGCAUG